GACGAACGCUGGCGGCGUGCUUAACACAUGCAAGUCGAGCGGACAGACCACUUCCUUGGUCCUCGAGCGGCGACCGCGUGCGUAACAGGUGCGAAAUCUGCACCUCCCUUUGGGAUAGCCACCGCAUCCGGUGAUUAAUGCUGGAUCUGACCAUUUUUCUCAUGCCGUUUGUUGGAUAGUUUUUCGGGGUGUGAUGUGCUCGCGGCCUAUCAUCUUGAUGGUGUGGUAAUGGUUGUCCAUGGCUUCGUUGGCUAGCCGGCCUGAGAAGGUGACCGGUCACAAGGGGACUGAGAGAGGGCGCAGACGCCUAUGGGAGGCAGCAGGGGGGAGUAUUAGAGAAUGGGCGGAAGUGUGAGACAGCAACGCCGCGUGAGGGAUGACGGCCUUCGGGGUGUAAACCAAUUUCAGUACCGACGAAGAGGAAGUGACGGUAGGUAAAGAAGAAGCAACGGCCAACUACGUG
Molecule: ribosomal RNA, 463 nt
Filed under: uncultured bacterium
Lineage: Bacteria
Description: partial 16S ribosomal RNA
Rfam family: Bacterial small subunit ribosomal RNA
Source: RNAcentral